This 1032-nucleotide long non-coding RNA is filed under the name Homo sapiens (human). RNAcentral's name for it is "HSALNT0101586". The record is from RNAcentral. Lineage: Eukaryota; Metazoa; Chordata; Mammalia; Primates; Hominidae.
AGACAAUCCAAUUAAAAACCAGGUCAAAAUAUUUGAAAAGACAUUUCUCCAAAUAUAUACACAUGGCCAAUAAGCAUAUUGAAAUGAUGUUCAGUAGCAAAACCACAGUGAGAUACCACUUCACAGCCACAAGCGUGGCUAUAAUUUUUAAGAUAAAGGAAAAUCACAAGUGUUGGUGAGGAAAUUGGAACCCUCAUACAUGGCUGAUGAGAAUGUACAAUGGCGCAGUCAUUUUAGAAAACAAUGUGGCAUUUAAAUAUAGGGUUACUAUAUGAUCUAGCAAUUCUACUCCUUGGUAUAUAGUCCUAGAAAUGAAAUCAUACAUCUACACAAAAAUCUGUACACAAAUGUUCAUAGCAACUUGUUAAUGGAAAAAGUAGAAACAACCCAAACGUCCAUCGACUGAAGGAUGAAUAAAUAAAAUUUGGUAUGUUUGUACAAUGGACUAUAUUUUAGCCAUAAAAAGAACGAGAUAUCCAUACAUGCUACUACAUGGAUGACCCUUGAAAACGUUAUGCUAAGUGAAAGAAGCCAGUCAUAAAAGACCAUAUAUGGUAUGACUUCAUUUAUACGAAAUAUCUAGAAUAGGCAGAUCAAUAGAGAGAAGGUAGAUGAGUGGUUGUUUUGGCUGGGAGUAGGGAGGAAUUGGGAGUGGGUGCUAAUGAGAACAAGUUUCUUUGAGGUUGUUAAAAAUGCUCUAAAGUUGAUUGUGGUGAUGGUUGUAUAAUUCUGUGAAUACACUAAAAGCCACUGAAUUAUAUAUUUGAAAUAGGUGGAUUGUAUGUGAAUCAAAUCUCAAUAAAGCUGUUAGAUAAAAAGUUAAAUGAUCUUCUAACUUAUCUCCUGAAAAAUGCACAUUGAGCCUCCGUCUGAUUUGUGUUGUGGCACCUAUGUGGAGCAGCUGGGCCACUUAGCAUGACUAAGCGUAGUAAUACCGGAGCUAGGCAGCUCAAGCCUCCUGUCUGUUUGAAAGACCAUCAGAAAACUCGAAGAGUGGGACAGGAUAAACUUUGUGAAGCAGGACCUGAGCUA